GCCGCCCCUUCGACCGUCUGUUAAAGUUUAGUAUCCCUCUUAUUCAAAGGUUUGAGAUAACGUCAUUAGUCGCUUCCUCUUGUUAUUUCGUCUUUGUUUUCGUCGGUGGACUCUUCUUUUCUGCAAAAAAGCUAAAUUCUUUGAAGCAAGAGCCAGACAAAGUUUUUUUUAUAACCAAAAAACAGUUAAGAGUUUUAUUUAUUUCUCUUAAUGGUGAUUUUAGAUUCGUCGAUGGUUUUACCAUGAUAAGACGCGGUGGAUAGAGGAUAGACGAGCUGCGGUUGGGCGAAAAAGAAUAGGCGGCGACGUACGAGGGUAUUCAUGAACACCCAAAAAAUAUAACACUGGUAUGCCUAGCUCUCAAUUCCUGCCGCGAGAAUUAAUUCAUCAGCAAAGACUCACUUAGGGUGUCGGUCUUGUCGAAUGUCUGAUGUUUUUGGGGUGUUCCCAAUCUGUCUUCACCGGUCGUUUUCAACAUUAUUAGUUUCAAUUGUUUCUUUUUGUUUCAAAGAAUGGAACCUCAUAAUUCGUAUUGACAUUCGAGAUAGGAAAAUGAACCACGAAGAACCAAAAUUAUAAAUCCCCACCAAGUAAAAACGGUUAACAACAGCGAAACAUAAAAAUGAACAAAGGUGGAUUCUUGAAUCAUGAUGAUAAUUAAGUAUAUAGAAUGUUAGUAGACUUGAAAACAAAACCAACGAUGGAGCCAGGGGAAUUUCGAAACGAAACAUAUUUUCAUUAGUGUUGUGUGCGCAUUGGGGAAGAUAGUACAAUAAGAGGGAAACCAAACUCGAGUUAAACGAAAGAAGAAACUAUUCGAGCUUCGACAUAGUAUGGCAUUUGCCUCAAUUUCAGACGCGGCUAUCACAAAAUCCUUUGCAUAUGACAUCAUUUUAGGGUAUACCAAGUCCCUCACAGCAUGUGUUCCUGCCAUCAAGAACAAUAUAUAACAAAUACUGAGUUCUUGAAUCUCAAUGCAUCUCUAACGUCCCAUUAGGAUUCAGAGCAUGAUAAGGUUAUGCAAAAAGCAAAUCACAAUCAGAGUAAAAGAGCAGACCCUGAUGUGCAAGAACUACCUGAACCAUGUGAUUAUUAGAAGUAAACUAAACACUUAAAUCAGAAAUACCUAAGAAUGAGAGAAAAACACUGAAGCAAGAGGCGUGGAUCUGGUGAAAGUGAAAUGGGGAAAACACCAGAACUGCAUGAUUAAGUAAAGGUGGAAUACAAAAGUCCAGACAACUUACUAAUAGGUAGGUAAGAACACAGUGAAAUAGCAGAGACCAACAUAAAAGUUUACUGAGUACAUUCUACCACCCCCAAAGUGCAUGUCACCCCAACUCCACAAUAAUAGAAAAUAGGUAUCAAAGCAAGGAAAGAUAAAACACCAGCAAUACUCUACAUGCAUACAUAACACAAGAGAUUAGGUAAAACAUUAUGCAGUUGGAACUGGACCUAAAAAGUUAAAACCCAGUCUUACAACACUGUUAUAUAUGCUCGUAAUAACCCACCAAGUGCAGAACUUGAUAAGAUAACACUGAUGAACAGAAGAACAUAGCGAAUAAUGAAUCAUUUGUUACAAAAAUUGAUAAGAUGUAGGUGUCGACCCUAAACUCAGAUUAGUAAAUCACAAUCAAGACAAUAUAAGCUGCUUAUUUUACAGGAGCUGAACCAGAAACCCAUAUCAAUAUACCACAACCUGAUACAAGGUGCACAUGGCCAUAGCGAGAAACAGAUCUGGUUGGGAUAUGGUACCCAGCUUCCGUGUAUGCUCGUAAAAGAAGUUCAGUGCGUACCGAAAUAUCCCGGAAAAACAUACUCGCAGCAGGAAAAGAAAACAGAAGAAAGUAUGAGAAAAAAGAGAGUGGCCGAUGAAACAGAGGGCACCACUGGAACUGGCAUGAAGAAAAGGGGACAGCUAUUAUAUAUGAGAAAAUUGAGGGGAAGACGAAAUAGAGAAGGGAGAAUGACCUAAAAGGAGAUAGGAGGACACCAGCCCAUAGGCAAGGAAACACAAAUAGGAAAUCAGUUGGCAGACAGGGGAAGCGGAAAAAGAAGGAAGGAAGCAAACCUCAAAGUCAGUCUAGGAGAUUCGCCAGAUUCCCAAGCGCAGAUGAAGAUGAUCGGGCGGGGUUUUCAGGUGAGAGAUCGUAGAGGAGCAUUUUGUGUUUGGUAGAAGAAAGAACCACAGUGAAUGGGAGGAAUAAAAGCACAGGUGAAUCAAAACUAAUUCAGGUCAUAGGAUAAAAUCGGAACUGGUGGAUAUGAGUACGGAUUUGAUAUAUUUAUUAUUUAUUUGUUUAUUCGUUAGAUUUUAUUUAUAAUUAUUUAUUCUGUCUAAAUGAGAAUAAUAGGAAAAUCAUCCCUUGUCCAUUUAUGGGUUUUGGGUUUAUCCAU
This 2394-nucleotide long non-coding RNA is filed under the name Linum usitatissimum (flax). RNAcentral describes it as "long non-coding RNA (LUSI_LNC003470)". Lineage: Eukaryota; Viridiplantae; Streptophyta; Magnoliopsida; Malpighiales; Linaceae. The record is from RNAcentral.